GAUGAAGAACGUAGCGAAAUGCGAUAAGUAGUGUGAAUUGCAGAUUUCAGUGAAUCAUCGAAUCUUUGAACGCACAUUGCGCCCCCUGGUAUUCCGGGGGGCAUGCCUGUCCGAGCGUCAUUACAACCCUCAAGCUCAGCUUGGUGUUGGGCCCCGCCGCCCCGGCGGGCCCUAAAGUCAGUGGCGGUGCCGUCCGGCUCCGAGCGUAGUAAUUCUUCUCGCUCUGGAGGUCCGGUCGUGUGCUCGCCAGCAACCCCCAAUUUUUUUCAGGUUGACCUCGGAUCAGGUAGGGAUACCCGCUGAACUUAAGCAUAUCAAUAAGCGGAGGA
RNAcentral lists this unclassified non-coding RNA (329 nucleotides) under soil metagenome. Its description in RNAcentral is "partial contains 5.8S ribosomal RNA, internal transcribed spacer 2, and large subunit ribosomal RNA". The stretch from base 1 to 120 matches the Rfam family "5.8S ribosomal RNA", at positions 35 to 154 of the family's 154-position model. The record is from RNAcentral.